RNAcentral lists this ribosomal RNA (253 nucleotides) under uncultured bacterium. Its description in RNAcentral is "partial 16S ribosomal RNA". It matches the Rfam family "Bacterial small subunit ribosomal RNA", at positions 524 to 776 of the family's 1533-position model. The record is from RNAcentral.
UACAUAGGGUGCAAGCGUUGUCCGGAAUUAUUGGGCGUAAAGAGCUCGUAGGUCGUUUGAUACGUCGGGUGUGAAAUUCAGGGGCUCAACCCCUGACCUGCAUUCGAUACGGUCAAGCUAGAGUUUGGUAGGGGAGACUGGAAUUCCUGGUGUAGCGGUGGAAUGCGCAGAUAUCAGGAGGAACACCAAUGGCGAAGGCAGGACUCUGGGCCAUUACUGACACUGAGGAGCGAAAGCGUGGGGAGCGAACAGG